CUCUUUUUGUAUUAUUUAAAAGGUUUAGCCUGCCCUAUGAAUUAUUUUAAAUGGCCGCAGUAUUUUGACUGUGCGAAGGUAGCAUAAUAAUUAGUUUUUUAAUUGAAAGCUUGUAUGAAUGGUUGGACGAGAUAAUUACUGUCUUUUUUUAAUUAUUAGAAAUUAAUUUUUAAGUCAAAAAGCUUAAAUGAUUUUAAAAGACGAGAAGACCCUAUAAAGCUUUAUUAUUAUAAUUUUUAUUAUUUUAUUGAUUAUUUUAGUAAUAAUUUUUUUAAUAAUUUGAUUGGGGUAAUUAAAAGAUUAAUUUAAUUCUUUUUUAUUAUAUUCAUUAAUUUAUGUUUUAUUGAUCCAUUAAUAUUGAUUAAAAGAUUAAGUUACUUUAGGGAUAACAGCGUAAUUUUUUUGGAGAGUUCAUAUUUAUAAAAAAGUUUGCGACCUCGAUGUUGGAUUAAAAAAUAGUUUAGGUGAAGAAGCUUAAAUUGAUUGGUCUGUUCGACCAUUAAAUUUUU
Molecule: ribosomal RNA, 509 nt
Filed under: Noterus clavicornis
Lineage: Eukaryota; Metazoa; Arthropoda; Insecta; Coleoptera; Noteridae
Description: partial 16S ribosomal RNA
Rfam family: Bacterial large subunit ribosomal RNA (bases 385-509)
Source: RNAcentral